This 468-nucleotide ribosomal RNA is filed under the name uncultured bacterium. Its description in RNAcentral is "partial 16S ribosomal RNA". It matches the Rfam family "Bacterial small subunit ribosomal RNA", at positions 28 to 507 of the family's 1533-position model. The record is from RNAcentral.
GACGAACGCUGGCGGCGUGCUUAACACAUGCAAGUCGAACGGAAAGGCCCUGCUUUUGUGGGGUGCUCGAGUGGCGAACGGGUGAGUAACACGUGAGUAACCUGCCCUUGACUUUGGGAUAACUUCAGGAAACUGGGGCUAAUACCGGAUAGGAGCUCCUGCUGCAUGGUGGGGGUUGGAAAGUUUCGGCGGUUGGGGAUGGACUCGCGGCUUAUCAGCUUGUUGGUGGGGUAGUGGCUUACCAAGGCUUUGACGGGUAGCCGGCCUGAGAGGGUGACCGGACAAAUUGGGACUGAGAUACGGCCGAGACUCCUACGGGAGGCAGCAGUGGGGAAUAUUGCACAAUGGGCGGAAGCCUGAUGCAGCAACGCCGCGUGCGGGAUGACGGCCUUCGGGUUGUAAACCGCUUUCGCCUGUGACGAAGCGUGAGUGACGGUAAUGGGUAAAGAAGCACCGGCUAACUACGUG